This 373-nucleotide ribosomal RNA is filed under the name uncultured organism. Its description in RNAcentral is "bacterial SSU rRNA". It matches the Rfam family "Bacterial small subunit ribosomal RNA", at positions 526 to 896 of the family's 1533-position model. The record is from RNAcentral.
CAGAGACUGCAAGCGUUAUUCGGAUUCACUGGGCGUAAAGGGUGCGCAGGCGGUCGUGUGUGUCAGAUGUGAAAUCCCGGAGCUUAACUCCGGAACUGCGUCGGAAACUACACGACUAGAGCAUUGGAGAGGGAAGUGGAAUUCAUGGUGUAGCAGUGAAAUGCGUAGAUAUCAUGAGGAACACCAGAGGCGAAGGCGACUUCCUGGACAAUUGCUGACGCUCAGGCACGAAAGCAUGGGGGAGCAAAAGGGAUUAGAUACCCCUGUAGUCCAUGCCCUAAACGGUGCACACUAGGUCUUGGAGGAUUCGACCCCUUCAGGGCCCAAGCUAACGCGUUAAGUGUGCCGCCUGAGGACUACGGUCGCAAGACUA